AGCAGCCGCGGUAAUUCCAGCUCCAAUAGCGUAUAUUAAAGUUGUUGCAGUUAAAAAGCUCGUAGUUGAAUUUCGAGACCGGUUUAUUGGUCGUGCUUUUGUACGUACUGGUAUUAUUGGUUUCUCCUUUCUGACGAAUCUUAAUGCCAUUAAUUUGGUGUUUUGGGGAAUCAGGACUGUUACUUUGAAAAAAUUAGAGUGUUUAAAGCAGGCUCACGCUUGAAUACAUUAGCAUGGAAUAACGGAAUAGGACGUUUGAUUCUAUUUUGUUGGUUUCUAGGAUCGACGUAAUGAUUAAUAGGGAUAGUUGGGGGCAUUAGUAUUCAAUUGUCAGAGGUGAAAUUCUUGGAUUUAUUGAAGACUAACUACUGCGAAAGCAUUUGCCAAGGAUGUUUU
This 396-nucleotide ribosomal RNA is filed under the name uncultured Glomeromycotina. RNAcentral describes it as "SSU rRNA". It matches the Rfam family "Eukaryotic small subunit ribosomal RNA", at positions 569 to 970 of the family's 1831-position model. Lineage: Eukaryota; Fungi; Glomeromycota. The record is from RNAcentral.